Molecule: ribosomal RNA, 301 nt
Filed under: uncultured bacterium
Lineage: Bacteria
Description: partial 16S ribosomal RNA
Rfam family: Bacterial small subunit ribosomal RNA
Source: RNAcentral
CAGCAGCCACGGGAAUACGAAGGGGGCUAGCGUUGUUCGGAAUUACUGGGCGUAAAGCGCACGUAGGCGGAUCGAUCAGUCAGGGGUGAAAUCCCAGGGCUCAACCCUGGAACUGCCUUUGAUACUGUCGAUCUGGAGUAUGGAAGAGGUGAGUGGAAUUCCGAGUGUAGAGGUGAAAUUCGUAGAUAUUCGGAGGAACACCAGUGGCGAAGGCGGCUCACUGGUCCAAUACUGACGCUCAUGCACGAAAGCGUGGGGAGCAAACAGGAUUAGAUACCCCGGUAGUCCCUGUCUCUUAUAC